GACGAACGCUGGCGGCGUGCUUAACACAUGCAAGUCGAACGGAAAGGCCCUGCUUUUGUGGGGUGCUCGAGUGGCGAACGGGUGAGUAACACGUGAGUAACCUGCCCUUGACUUUGGGAUAACUUCAGGAAACUGGGGCUAAUACCGGAUAGGAGCUCCUGCUGCAUGGUGGGGGUUGGAAAGUUUCGGCGGUUGGGGAUGGACUCGCCGCUUAUCAGCUUGUUGGUGGGGUAGUGGCUUACCAAGGCUUUGACGGGUAGCCGGCCUGAGAGGGUGACCGGCCACAUUGGGACUGAGAUACGGCCCAGACUCCUACGGGAGGCAGCAGUGGGGAAUAUUGCACAAUGGGCGGAAGCCUGAUGCAGCAACGCCGCGUGCGGGAUGACGGCCUUCGGGUUGUAAACCGCUUUCGCCUGUGACGAAGCGUGAGUGACGGUAAUGGGUAAAGAAGCACCGGCUAACUACGUG
Molecule: ribosomal RNA, 468 nt
Filed under: uncultured bacterium
Lineage: Bacteria
Description: partial 16S ribosomal RNA
Rfam family: Bacterial small subunit ribosomal RNA
Source: RNAcentral